AUCUCCCUUACAGGAAAAGCAGCACCAAGUCAUCUCUGCAGAGGAAGCUUCUUCCAGCCGUGGACAUACCUGCCGCCACUCACCUUCCAACACGACAAUUCUGCGACACCAGCAGGACACCACAGAUAAUGAAGACACAGCAUGUACAAAACUGGAAAGUUUUCGAUCUAUAGAUGCUGGGAACCUGGGAAUAUUUGUCAAAGAUUUAAUUACUGCUUUGCCCUAUUCAAAAC
This 233-nucleotide long non-coding RNA is filed under the name Canis lupus dingo (dingo). RNAcentral's name for it is "lncRNA (ENSCAFG00020000469.1)". The record is from RNAcentral. Lineage: Eukaryota; Metazoa; Chordata; Mammalia; Carnivora; Canidae.